GCCUCAAGGUCCUGCUCUUCGCUCUCGCUCACGUCCACGGGAGGCUGAUAGGUAGGAACGCCCUUCUCUUUCCAACCGGCCCACUCAUUACGGCUCCGAGGCACGACAGCGCGCGAAAGGGGCGAGUAAACAAGCGAGCACAUCUCGCGUCCAUGCACGUAACCCUUCCAGAAACCAUUGCGUUUGGAGUCCGCUAACAGGGUGGCGUGGUCCUUUUUCAGUCCAGCCAAACGGCCCUCGAAGUCGGGAAGAAAGGCCUUGAUAAAGGCGUCCUUCGCAGCAGCAGCCCGAGUCUUCUCUUCCUCCGCAGCACGGCACAAGUCGGCGGCCAGGAGGUCACGCUCACGCUUGACGGCGUCCAGCUCGGUCCUCA
RNAcentral lists this long non-coding RNA (373 nucleotides) under Zostera marina. Its description in RNAcentral is "long non-coding RNA (ZMAR_LNC005940)". The record is from RNAcentral. Lineage: Eukaryota; Viridiplantae; Streptophyta; Magnoliopsida; Alismatales; Zosteraceae.